UACGUAGGGCGCAAGCGUUGUCCGGAAUUAUUGGGCGUAAAGAGCUCGUAGGCGGUUUGUCGCGUCUGCUGUGAAAACCUAAGGCUCAACCUUGGGCUUGCAGUGGGUACGGGCAGACUAGAGUGCGGUAGGGGUGACUGGAAUUCCUGGUGUAGCGGUGAAAUGCGCAGAUAUCAGGAGGAACACCGAUGGCGAAGGCAGGUCACUGGGCCGCAACUGACGCUGAGGAGCGAAAGCAUGGGGAGCGAACAGG
Molecule: ribosomal RNA, 253 nt
Filed under: uncultured bacterium
Lineage: Bacteria
Description: partial 16S ribosomal RNA
Rfam family: Bacterial small subunit ribosomal RNA
Source: RNAcentral